Molecule: ribosomal RNA, 252 nt
Filed under: Pavlova gyrans
Lineage: Eukaryota; Haptophyta; Pavlovophyceae; Pavlovales; Pavlovaceae
Description: partial Eukaryotic large subunit ribosomal RNA
Rfam family: Eukaryotic large subunit ribosomal RNA
Source: RNAcentral
AAGAGUUCUCUUUUCUUCUUAACAGCCUAUCACCCUGAAAUCGGUUUGUCCGGAGCUAGGGUUUAACGGUUGGUAGAGCUCGACACCUCUGUCGGGUCCGGUGCGCUCUCGACGUCCCUUGAAAAUCCGCGGGAAGGAAUAGCUUUCAAGCCAGGUCGUACUCAUAACCGCAGCAGGUCUCCAAGGUGAACAGCCUCUAGUUGAUAGAACAAUGUAGAUAAGGGAAGCCGGCAAGAUAGAUCCGUACGUUCG